GUCUAAUAAUCCUCCUGCUGUGGUGGUUGGCUGGUAGAUCGAUUCCGCCUCCCUUCCUGGUAUUGACCAUCUAGGUUAGAAACACAUGGUAAGAUAGAAUUGUGGAUAAGACGAGUAAUUACGAGACAUGAUCUUUUGGGGGUUUUAUUAGCUCCGUAGCUUAGUGUGGCACCUACUAAUACUAAUAAUUACCUUAUGGUGGUACAUGCUAGAAUGCUCUGCUAUACUAUUUCAGUCAAUCAAAGAAGCAAAUCAAGCAUUUAUCAUCAGAACAAACAUACAAACACUUUACAUAUAGAAAAUAUGUAUUUUUUGUCUUAGGUUUCCUAUCUCUUUGGGGGAGUUUGUAGAUGUAGGAUUCCAAGGUGUGAAAUCCUUCUUGUCUUUCUAGAGUAGAAAAGGUAAGAGUAGUAAGAGUAGAACAGCAAAAGGUGCGAUAGGAUCAAGAUAAGUAUAGAAAGAAUCAGAGUAAAGGUAAGGUAAAAGUUUUGUCCAGUACUAUCUAGGUUUCGUCCUACAGUCAACAUUUCCUCUGAUACCACUUCUGUCACACCCGGAUUUAAGGGAUAAAGCCAAGUGCAUCUCAUAUGUGCGCCAAAUAAGAACAUCACAUAUAAUGACAAAAUGUAUAUAGAUAAAUGUCACAAAUAUCAUUAUUACAUAGCGGAAGUAUCUUACAAAAAUAGAUGAUAACAAUAAAGCGAACUAAAUAUUAUUCCUUGGCGCCAUCAAGCUGACUGGGAGCCGCCACCUAGAUAAGCUCGUACUCCUCAUUGUAGACUUCCUCCUAGACCACCAGUUCUUCUCCUGUGGGGGGGUUAUAUAUCGCAAGAGUGAGCUCACAAAAGAUCAUAUCUCAACAAGUUGUGGGGAAUAAUGUGCAUGAACUCACCAAAGGUGGGAGUUCAUGUGAAGUGUAAGGCUGAUAAACCAAAUAAUGGUUAAAGCUGAGCAUUUCUUUUAAUAAGUUGGUCAAAUUUUUAUUAGCAGAUACUAAAUGUAAGUAUAUACCAAACCAGAGUAAUAAUAGAUCAAAAUUAAUAAUAAACCACAAUGCGAUGCAAAUGUCCAGUUAAAUUUAAUUCCAUAUGUUACUCAUGUAAGGUUCCGAGCUGCUCAUGACCGUGAGCAUGGCUGAUAUACCAGUUUUACACUCUGCAGAGGUUGCACAUCUUUACCCACAAGUCAUGUUACCCAUCUGCCAAGGGGUCAUGAAUCACAUACACCUCUACCAAGGAAGCGAGGCAGGCUAACACUUCGAGGACUUUACAAAGUUCCACUAGCUUCAGAAAACUCGCUACAGUUUCUAGGGAGCGCAAUGCAGGAAUCCCCCGUCUGACUGCCAUCGCAACAAAAUCAACCCGAGAACCUCCCUACACCGACCACUCCCCUACUGCCCUUGCCCCUUUCGGGUAAGGUAGUCAUCCACUAGCUUUCCUAAUUAGUCAGCCAAGGGUGUCCCAUACCACCCUUGUGGUAGCACUAUAUUCCUGGGUGGUUCUCCAUGUUCCAAUUAACAUAAUGAUAUUGUCAUGAACAGUAAAUAACAAAUUGAUAAUAAAAGCAUGAUCAUGAAUAAUGUGUAUCUUAACACCCAAAACCACAUAAAGCAAUAGCAGGUACUACCCAAAAGUUCAGUGGUAAACAAGGUAUAAAGAUAGUCAAACUAGGGUGACCUAUUGGGACCCAUAAAAAUUAAACUAUGCAGAUCAUAAUGAUUAAGAGGAACAUUAUUGGGUAAAUAGAAGUGAUCAAGGGCACAACUUGCCUUCAACGGGCUCCUGCUCAGCAAUUUCCACUUUCUGAACACCUGGGUCCUCGAUCACUUGUUCAUCUACUCGAAGCAAUACAAACAACAUGGUAUAGGAGAAAUUAAGAUCACACCAAACAUUAGUAUAGAAUACAUGAUCAUAUUCUACGCAUCGUAACGAGAUCGUAGCUUCGAGAAUCACUAAAUUCGGAGUUACGGUUAUCGAGUUACGAUUUUCCGAAGUAAUUAAGUGUUUUGUAGAGAAUAAAUUAAGUAGAUAAUUUUAAUCUAUGUUUCAUGACUAAACAGAGUUACCAAGUGAUAAACAAUAUUAAUACAAAAUUAUUGUAACUGGAAUGGAUAAAAAGGGAGUUAAAAUGAAUUUUCUAGGAAUUAAACAAGUUCUAGUAUUAUUUUUGUACUAGAAAAGUAUUUUCUAUAUUGUUUUUCCUAAUUUCUUAGGUCUCUGGACUGCACGCAUAAUUAUCAGGGAGUACGGGGUCAAAACUGUAAAUGCCAGGAACCCGAAUUAAACUCUGUUCUACUGCUCCAGGACGGCGGGUUGGUUUCGCUUAACCCGAGGGUUUCUUAUGCAAAGAUGGCCCGGUGAAGGGGUAUCCGCCGAUCGUGGCCGUUCGAUCAACAACUGAAGGCCACAAUUGGAACAGUCGCCGACCGAACCGAUAUGAAAUUGAGGCUGUAAGAUGCUAAUCUUAUGGUUCGGGUUCUACGUACAUGUGAUAUGUUGCUGGCCCUCCGAUCCCGAUCGUGCAGCCCACCAAAACCCAGGCCGAUCGGGGCCCGGGAUCUAAUCCGAUCCUUAGAUUUGGGAUCUCACGACCAAGGUUCAUCUCUACCUCGCCGACGCAGGAUGGUAGCGCCGCCAGUCAUGCACGGUGGCAACCCCGCAGGUGCGCGACGACCCAGUACAUCCGUGCCCCAUCCGACUCCCAGAACAGCGCUACGCAUGGAGGAGAGGAUUGCAGAUGUGAUGGGAUGUUACUCACCGGCUAUCAAGCUGUGGAGGGUCUGACCACGGAGAUGCGCGGCAUGGUGGAGCAGGACGAAGACCGAUGAGCAAUUGAGACGACGCCGAUGAAGCUUGUGACUUGGAUGGCCAGGGGGUUUGCGGCGGAUGACUUCUUCUUAUAGCCCGGAUGCAGGGCUAAGACCCGCGCCUAUAUCGACUCGUCUGAGAACUACGGCACCCACGUGAUUUUCUGCGUUCGAUUCAGCGGGGACGAUGGACCUGCGUGCUGG
This 3010-nucleotide long non-coding RNA is filed under the name Zea mays. RNAcentral describes it as "long non-coding RNA (ZMAY_LNC004395)". Lineage: Eukaryota; Viridiplantae; Streptophyta; Magnoliopsida; Poales; Poaceae. The record is from RNAcentral.